Molecule: ribosomal RNA, 1399 nt
Filed under: Leptobrachium nigrops (black-eyed litter frog)
Lineage: Eukaryota; Metazoa; Chordata; Amphibia; Anura; Megophryidae
Description: partial 16S rRNA
Rfam family: Bacterial large subunit ribosomal RNA
Source: RNAcentral
AUGUUUUCUAUCUAGCCUAACCACCACCCCCCCCCCCAUCUUCAACCAAUAAAACAUUCACCAUGCUUAGUCUAUGAGAUAAAAAAGUCCUACAGAGCCUAUAAAUUAGUACGGCACGGGAUUAAUGAAAUAAAGUGAAAUAUUUUAAAACACUAAAAAGCAGAGAUAUUAACUCGUACCUUUUGCAUCAUGGCCUAACAAGUCUAAUCAGGCAAGACGAAUUUUAGUCUGACCUCCCGAAACUAAGUGAGCUACUCCGGGGCUACCAAUGUAAACCCGUCUCUGUUGCAAAAGAGUGGGCAAACCCCUGAGUAGAGGCGAAAAACCUACCGAACCUAGUAAUAGCUGGUUGCUUAGGAAAAGGAUUUAAGUUCUUUCUUAAAAAUACUCAGGCACCCAAACAGGCAAACCCUAUUUUUAAGAACUAUUCAAUAAAGGUACAGCUUUAUUGAAGAAGGAGACAACCUAAACCUUAGGAUAAUGAUUAUAAUCUUUAAGGAGAUCUAGAUUAAGUUGGCCUAAAAGCAGCCACCUCUAAUAGCGUCAAAGCUUCACCUCACCUCUUCCCUUAAUUCCACUACACCAUCAAAAUCCAACAUCACUACUAAGCCAUUUUAUAUCAAUAUAGAAGAAUUAAUGUUAGGACUAGUAACAAAGAAGAACUUCUCUUUUAUAUAAGUUUAGAUCAGCUCGAAUACCUCCCUGAUAAUUAUCCAACCUUGAAUCUAUAGUAGUACCCCUUAAUUUUAAAAACCCUACUAAAAUAAUUGUUAAUCAGACAUAUGAAUAUAAAAGAAAGAUAUAAAAAUUAAGAAGGAACUCGGCAAACACAAAUCCCGCCUGUUUACCAAAAACAUCGCCUUUUGAAUUAUAUAAAAGGUAACGCCUGCCCAGUGACCCUGUGUUAAACGGCCGCGGUAUCCUGACCGCGCAAAGGUAGCGUAAUCAUUUGUCUUUUAAAUGAAGACUUGUAUGAAAGGCAUUACGAGGACUUAACUGUCUCCUUAAUUUAAUCAGUGAAACUGAUCUUCCCGUAAAAAAGCGGGAAUAAAACCAUUAGACGAGAAGACCCUAUGGAGCUUAAAACCUCAAGCUACUUGUCUAACUUUCUCACAGAAUAUUAUUAAUAAACAAGCCUAGUCUAAGUUUUCUGUUGGGGUGACUGUGGAGAAAAACUAAUCCUCCAUGAAGAAUAGACUUAGAGCUACCGCUCUUAGUAUUAGUAAACCUAACUUUAAUUGACCCAAUCUUUGAUCAACGGACUAAGUUACCCUAGGGAUAACAGCGCCAUCCAUUUCAAGAGUCCAUAUCGACAAAUGGGUUUACGACCUCGAUGUUGGAUUAGGACACCCCAGUGGUGUAGCCGCUACUAAAGGUUCGUUUGUUCAACGAUUAAACU